RNAcentral lists this ribosomal RNA (497 nucleotides) under uncultured bacterium. Its description in RNAcentral is "partial 16S ribosomal RNA". It matches the Rfam family "Bacterial small subunit ribosomal RNA", at positions 28 to 507 of the family's 1533-position model. The record is from RNAcentral.
GAUGAACGCUGGCGGCGUGCCUAAUACAUGCAAGUCGAGCGAACAGACGAGGAGCUUGCUCCUCUGACGUUAGCGGCGGACGGGUGAGUAACACGUGGAUAACCUACCUAUAAGACUGGGAUAACUUCGGGAAACCGGAGCUAAUACCGGAUAAUAUAUUGAACCGCAUGGUUCAAUAGUGAAAGACGGUUUUGCUGUCACUUAUAGAUGGAUCCGCGCCGCAUUAGUUAGUUGGUAAGGUAACGGCUUACCAAGGCAACGAUGCGUAGCCGACCUGAGAGGGUGAUCGGCCACACUGGAACUGAGACACGGUCCAGACUCCUACGGGAGGCAGCAGUAGGGAAUCUUCCGCAAUGGGCGAAAGCCGGACGGAGCAACGCCGCGUGAGUGAUGAAGGUCUUCGGAUCGUAAAACUCUGUUAUUAGGGAAGAACAAAUGUGUAAGUAACUAUGCACGUAUUGACGGUACCUAAUCAGAAAGCCACGGCUAACUACGUG